This 455-nucleotide ribosomal RNA is filed under the name uncultured bacterium. RNAcentral describes it as "bacterial SSU rRNA". It matches the Rfam family "Bacterial small subunit ribosomal RNA", at positions 30 to 504 of the family's 1533-position model. The record is from RNAcentral.
CGAACGCUGGCGGUAUGCUUCACACAUGCAAGUCGAACGAGAAAGCUUCUUCGGAAGUGAUUAGAGUGGCGCACGGGUGAGUAACACGUAGAUAACCUGCCCUUCAGUUUGGGACAACCCUUCGAAAGGGGGGCUAAUACCGGAUAAUACCUUUUAUCGAGUGGUGAGAGGUUGAAAGAUUUAUCGCUGAAGGAUGGGUCUGCGUACCAUUAGCUUGUUGGUAGGGUAAUAGCCUACCAAGGCUUCGAUGGUUAACGGGUCUGAGAGGAUGAUCCGUCACACUGGAACUGAGACACGGUCCAGACUCCUACGGGAGGCAGCAGUGGGGAAUUUUGCGCAAUGGGGGAAACCCUGACGCAGCAAUACCGCGUGAGUGAAGAAGGCCUUUGGGUCGUAAAGCUCUUUUCUAAGGGAAGAUAAUGACGGUACCUUAGGAAUAAGCACCGGCUAACUCC